GAUGAAGAACGUAGCGAAAUGCGAUAAGUAAUGUGAAUUGCAGAAUUCAGUGAAUCAUCGAGUCUUUGAACGCACAUUGCGCCCCCUGGUAUUCCGGGGGGCAUGCCUGUCCGAGCGUCAUUGCCGCCCUCAAGCACGGCUUGUGUGUUGGGCCCCCGCCCCCCGGCUUCGGGGGGCGGGCCCGAAAGGCAGCGGCGGCACCGCGUCCGGUCCUCGAGCGUAUGGGGCUUCGUCACCCGCUCUGUAGGCCCGGCCGGCGCUUGCCGACACAUCAAUCUUUUUUCCAGGUUGACCUCGGAUCAGGUAGGGAUACCCGCUGAACUUAAGCAUAUCAAUAAGCGGAGGA
This 346-nucleotide unclassified non-coding RNA is filed under the name soil metagenome. RNAcentral's name for it is "partial contains 5.8S ribosomal RNA, internal transcribed spacer 2, and large subunit ribosomal RNA". The stretch from base 1 to 120 matches the Rfam family "5.8S ribosomal RNA", at positions 35 to 154 of the family's 154-position model. The record is from RNAcentral.